GAGCAACGCCAUCCACCGUCAGCGACAUCGUCAUGGGCGAUAACGGACAGUUUAAAAGCACGCACCGCUUGCUGCCACGCUAGUGGGGACGGAGGCACAAGUGGAAUGAAGGACUCACAGCGCAUCUUUUUUGUUGUGCAGAUUCCUGGCUGUUCGCCCCCAGUGUUUCCCAAGGAUCCACAUCUACUCAGCGGUGCACACUCAGCGAUCGAAGGUGGCAUGAAAAAGGUCAAAUGCAAACAGACAAACCAGAGAGAGGGUCGAGAAAGACCAAGUGUCUCAAGCAAGAGCAACGAAACAUUUGAACAAGGCGAUCUGCUCCGAGGCAGCAGUUCUACAGAGCCAAGGCCGGCUUACGGAUUAUUUCAGACCGCGAUAUUAUUGUGACCACGUCUCAUUCUCUGUCUACGGCCGCGGCAGAUUGCACUGUCUGUGGCAGCGACCUUCAAGUGAUGUUGAGUGUCGCUGAAUAAUCUUCGCCCAGGUACAGCCCUUGUGGAAAGUAUGAGAGCUGC
Molecule: non-coding RNA, 515 nt
Organism: Dermacentor albipictus
Lineage: Eukaryota; Metazoa; Arthropoda; Arachnida; Ixodida; Ixodidae
Source: RefSeq, a predicted model, not a curated record